Agrilus planipennis (emerald ash borer) is the source of this 408-nucleotide long non-coding RNA. RefSeq lists it as uncharacterized. The transcript is spliced from 3 exons. The record is from RefSeq and is a predicted model, not a curated record. NCBI's taxonomy places the organism in Eukaryota, Metazoa, Arthropoda, Insecta, Coleoptera, Buprestidae.
UGAUACUAUCUUCAUUAACAAAUCUCGUCGAUGACGUAUUUCCUUUUUCGCUCACCGGUCUGCUGCUGGUUCUACGUUUUAUGAGUUUUAGUCGGUUUUAGUAGUGAUUUGUUAUGUGCAUUUUUGAUAGAAAAAUUUAAAAAAUACAGGCUUUACAAUACCAAGGGUCUUAAAAAUAGAUUAUGCUGCAACGUAAUAAUAUUAAUACUGCGAAGAGCUUUUGUGAAUGUAACGUUCCUUCCACACUAAUAAAGAGCCUCGAAAUAUUUUGGAUUAUCCAACAAAUGAAAGAACAAUUAAAGUCUACAUGAAUGGCGUCUAUCCUGAACUACAUUCUUGAUUUGCUGUUUUCGUCUUCACCUUGCAACGCUAUACAGAUAAUUUUUAAUUAUGGGUGAAAGCAACUGA